CUACGGGUUGCACCAGUGAGGAAUAUUGCACAAUGGGGGGAACCCUGAUGCAGCAACGCCGCGUGGAGGAUGACGCAUUUCGGUGUGUAAACUCCUUCUAUAUGUCAAGAAAAUGACGGUAGCAUAUGAAUAAGCACCGGCUAACUCCGUGCCAGCAGCCGCGGUAAUGCGGAGGGUGCAAGCGUUACUCGGAAUCACUGGGCGUAAAGGACGCGUAGGCGGGUUGGAAAGUCAGGUGUGAAAUCCUACAGCUUAACUGUAGAACUGCACUUGAAACUUCUAAUCUAGAGUAUGGGAGGGGGAGAUGGAAUUAGUGGUGUAGGGGUAAAAUCCGUAGAUAUCACUAGGAAUACCUAAAGCGAAGGCGAUCUCCUGGAACAUUACUGACGCUAAGGCGUGAAAGCGUGGGGAGCAAACAGGAUUAGAUACCCGUGUAGUC
Molecule: ribosomal RNA, 439 nt
Filed under: uncultured bacterium
Lineage: Bacteria
Description: partial 16S ribosomal RNA
Rfam family: Bacterial small subunit ribosomal RNA
Source: RNAcentral